RNAcentral lists this ribosomal RNA (69 nucleotides) under Vibrio cholerae. RNAcentral's name for it is "partial 16S ribosomal RNA". It matches the Rfam family "Bacterial small subunit ribosomal RNA", at positions 1 to 67 of the family's 1533-position model. Lineage: Bacteria; Pseudomonadati; Pseudomonadota; Gammaproteobacteria; Vibrionales; Vibrionaceae. The record is from RNAcentral. RNAcentral also lists the same sequence under 12 other names.
UUUAAUUGAAGAGUUUGAUCAUGGCUCAGAUUGAACGCUGGCGGCAGGCCUAACACAUGCAAGUCGAGC